GACGAACGCUGGCGGCGUGCCUAAUACAUGCAAGUAGAACGCUGAAGAGAGGAGCUUGCUCUUCUUGGAUGAGUUGCGAACGGGUGAGUAACGCGUAGGUAACCUGCCUUGUAGCGGGGGAUAACUAUUGGAAACGAUAGAUAAUACCGCAUAACAAUGGAUGACACAUGUCAUUUAUUUGAAAGGGGCAAUUGCUCCACUACAAGAUGGACCUGCGUUGUAUUAGCUAGUAGGUGAGGUAAUGGCUCACCUAGGCGACGAUACAUAGCCGACCUGAGAGGGUGAUCGGCCACACUGGGACUGAGACACGGCCCAGACUCCUACGGGAGGCAGCAGUAGGGAAUCUUCGGCAAUGGGGGCAACCCUGACCGAGCAACGCCGCGUGAGUGAAGAAGGUUUUCGGAUCGUAAAGCUCUGUUGUAAGUCAAGAACGGGUGUGAGAGUGGAAAGUUCACACUGUGACGGUAGCUUACCAGAAAGGGACGGCUAACUACGUG
Molecule: ribosomal RNA, 497 nt
Filed under: uncultured bacterium
Lineage: Bacteria
Description: partial 16S ribosomal RNA
Rfam family: Bacterial small subunit ribosomal RNA
Source: RNAcentral